UAGGGAAUAUUGCACAAUGGGCGAAAGCCUGAUGCAGCGACGCCGCGUGAGCGAAGAAGUUCUUCGGAACGUAAAGCUCUGUCCUUGGGGACGAAAAAAAUGACGGUACCCAAGGAGGAAGCCCCGGCUAACUACGUGCCAGCAGCCGCGGUAAUACGUAGGGGGCGAGCGUUGUCCGGAUUUACUGGGCGUAAAGAGUACGUAGGCUGUCGGGUAAGUCGGGUGUGAAAGGCAGGGGCUCAACCUCUGGACUGCACUUGAUACUGCUUGACUUGAGUAAUGGAGGGGUAACUGGAAUUCUCGGUGUAGCAGUGAAAUGCGUAGAUAUCGAGAGGAGCACUCGUGGCGAAGGCGAGUUACUGGACAUUUACUGACGCUGAGGUACGAAGGCUAGGGGAGCGAAAG
This 405-nucleotide ribosomal RNA is filed under the name uncultured bacterium. RNAcentral describes it as "bacterial SSU rRNA". It matches the Rfam family "Bacterial small subunit ribosomal RNA", at positions 355 to 774 of the family's 1533-position model. The record is from RNAcentral.